UACGGAGGGGACUAGCGUUGUUCGGAAUUACUGGGCGUAAAGCGCACGUAGGCGGUUUUGUUAGUCAGGGGUGAAAUCCCGAGGCUCAACCUCGGAACUGCCUUUGAUACUGCAAAUCUCGAGUCCGGAAGAGGUGAGUGGAAUUCCUAGUGUAGAGGUGAAAUUCGUAGAUAUUAGGAAGAACACCAGUGGCGAAGGCGGCUCACUGGUCCGGUACUGACGCUGAGGUGCGAAAGCGUGGGGAGCAAACAGG
RNAcentral lists this ribosomal RNA (253 nucleotides) under uncultured bacterium. RNAcentral describes it as "partial 16S ribosomal RNA". It matches the Rfam family "Bacterial small subunit ribosomal RNA", at positions 524 to 776 of the family's 1533-position model. The record is from RNAcentral.